Molecule: ribosomal RNA, 552 nt
Filed under: Triticum aestivum (bread wheat)
Lineage: Eukaryota; Viridiplantae; Streptophyta; Magnoliopsida; Poales; Poaceae
Description: partial small subunit ribosomal RNA
Source: RNAcentral
AUGGCCUCCCCAUCCCCUCCGCCGCCGCCGGCCGCCGCCGACCAACGGCCCCACCACCCCCUCUUCGCCGCGGCCGCGGCCGCCUCCCUGCUCGCCGUCCUCUACCUCCCUCGGCCGCUCCUGCAGCUGCUCCUCUCCCCCGCCCCGCUCUCCUCCGUCCUCCUCCUCGUCUACCUGCUCCGCCUCGGCUCCCCGCCACCUGCCGCGACCCUUGCUCCUCCUCCUCCUCCGCUGCAGGAGAGAGCCCCGGAGGUCGCCCCGCCUCCGCCUCCGCCGCCGCCGCCGGCGAAGCCCCAGAGCGUGUUCCUGGAGCCGGAGUUCGCGUCGUGGGCGCCCAAAGGCCGCGCUCUGGAGGUGAUCCACGAGGAGUUCGAGGCGGAGUGGGGGCCGGAAGAGAUGGGCCUGCCCUGGACGUCGGACUCCGACUCGGACAGCUGCAGCGGCAGUGACGACUACGACGACGGCGGCGGCGGCGGGGAAGAGUACGGGAUGAUCGAGAUCGAGCUGGAGGAGGACAACCUCAUCGAGAUCGACAUCUCGAGGUGCCGGUGA